Molecule: ribosomal RNA, 504 nt
Filed under: Crepidula coquimbensis
Lineage: Eukaryota; Metazoa; Mollusca; Gastropoda; Littorinimorpha; Calyptraeidae
Description: partial 16S ribosomal RNA
Source: RNAcentral
AGAAUUUUAAUGGUCGAACAGACCAACCCUUAAAGACUUCUGCACCUUUAGGAUAUUCUGGUCCAACAUCGAGGUCACAAACCUUUUUUUCGAUUAGAGCUCUCAAAAAAGAUAAUGCUGUUAUCCCUACGGUAACUAAUUCCAUUAAUCAUAAUUUUUGGAUCAAAACAAGUAAGUUUUUGUAAAUUAAAGAAGCUUUUUUUGUUCCUUAGUCGCCCCAACCAAAAUUUUUAAUAAUUUUUUUUUACAUAGUAUAAUUAAAUUUUAUUAAUUUUUUUAAAGCUCGAUAGGGUCUUCUUGUCUUUUAAUUAUAUACAAACCUCUUCAUCUGUAAGUAAAAUUCUAUCUAAUUAGGAAGAGACAGCUUUGCUCUUGUGAGACCAUUCAUUCCAGUCCUCAAUUAUAGGACAAAUUAUUAUGCUACCUUAGCACAGUUAAGAUACUGCGGCCGUUGAAAAAAUCACUGGGCAGGCCGGACUCUUUAUGUAAGUUAUUCAAAGAGCC